RNAcentral lists this microRNA (22 nucleotides) under Strongylocentrotus purpuratus (purple sea urchin). Its description in RNAcentral is "Spu-Mir-96-P1_3p* (star (passenger))". Lineage: Eukaryota; Metazoa; Echinodermata; Echinoidea; Camarodonta; Strongylocentrotidae. The record is from RNAcentral.
AAGAUAUGUUUGUGCCAAGCCA